GACGAACGCUGGCGGCGUGCCUAAUACAUGCAAGUAGAACGCACAGUUUAUACCGUAGCUUGCUACACCAUAGACUGUGAGUUGCGAACGGGUGAGUAACGCGUAGGUAACCUGCCUGGUAGCGGGGGAUAACUAUUGGAAACGAUAGCUAAUACCGCAUAAUAUUGAUUAUUGCAUGAUAAUUGAUUGAAAGAUGCUAUUGCAUCACUGCCAGAUGGACCUGCGUUGUAUUAGCUAGUAGGUGAGGUAACGGCUCACCUAGGCGACGAUACAUAGCCGACCUGAGAGGGUGAUCGGCCACACUGGGACUGAGACACGGCCCAGACUCCUACGGGAGGCAGCAGUAGGGAAUCUUCGGCAAUGGACGAAAGUCUGACCGAGCAACGCCGCGUGAGUGAAGAAGGUUUUCGGAUCGUAAAGCUCUGUUGUAAGAGAAGAACGGGUGUGAGAGUGGAAAGUUCACACUGUGACGGUAUCUUACCAGAAAGGGACGGCUAACUACGUG
RNAcentral lists this ribosomal RNA (505 nucleotides) under uncultured bacterium. RNAcentral's name for it is "partial 16S ribosomal RNA". It matches the Rfam family "Bacterial small subunit ribosomal RNA", at positions 28 to 507 of the family's 1533-position model. The record is from RNAcentral.